Pan troglodytes (chimpanzee) is the source of this 500-nucleotide long non-coding RNA. RefSeq lists it as uncharacterized. Lineage: Eukaryota; Metazoa; Chordata; Mammalia; Primates; Hominidae. The transcript has 3 exons. The record is from RefSeq and is a predicted model, not a curated record.
CGGGAAAGGAGGAAACCCACUUCCGCCGCGUCCAUGAUCUCCCGCGGCUUCUCCUGACUCUUGCGGCUGGCGCUGGCGCUGGGCAUCGGGACACGGAACUGGGCAGUGGACACCACCCUCCCUCGCAGGCUUCCAUGGAGUCUCACUCUUGUCACCCAGGCUGCAGUGCAAUGGUGCGAUCUCGGCUCACUGCGACCUCUGCCUCCCGGGUUCAAGUGAUUCUUCUGCCUCAGCCUCCCAAGUAGCUGGGAUUACAGUGUUCUUUCCUGUAUGAAGCCCAAGCUGUCCACUUGGAGAGACAUCUGGCCAGCCCCCCGUUGUUCCAGCCAUCCCCAGUUCAGGCACCAGACGUGGUGAAGAAGCCAUCCUAGAUGCCCAGCCCCAGCUACCAUCUGAUGCAACCACACUGCUCACCUCGAGUGAGAACUGCCUGCAGGAGCCUAGUAUUAUCCUCUCUCACAGAACCAUGGCAGGGAAUAAUAAAUUGUUGUUUGAAGCCA